Molecule: non-coding RNA, 30 nt
Filed under: Rattus norvegicus (Norway rat)
Lineage: Eukaryota; Metazoa; Chordata; Mammalia; Rodentia; Muridae
Source: RNAcentral
UGGGACGAAGCUCACAGAAGCUCGGUGGGA